RNAcentral lists this ribosomal RNA (496 nucleotides) under uncultured bacterium. RNAcentral's name for it is "partial 16S ribosomal RNA". It matches the Rfam family "Bacterial small subunit ribosomal RNA", at positions 28 to 523 of the family's 1533-position model. The record is from RNAcentral.
GAUGAACGCUAGCGGCAGGCUUAACACAUGCAAGUCGAGGGGUAGAGGAAGCUUGCUUCCUUGAGACCGGCGCACGGGUGCGUAACGCGUAUGCAACCUACCUUUUACAGAGGGAUAGCCCAGAGAAAUUUGGAUUAAUACCUCAUGGUAUAUAUCAUUCGCAUGUUUGAUAUAUUAAAGUUCCAACGGUAAAAGAUGGGCAUGCGUCCUAUUAGCUAGAUGGUAAGGUAACGGCUUACCAUGGCAACGAUAGGUAGGGGUCCUGAGAGGGAGAUCCCCCACACUGGUACUGAGACACGGACCAGACUCCUACGGGAGGCAGCAGUGAGGAAUAUUGGACAAUGGGCGCAAGCCUGAUCCAGCCAUGCCGCGUGCAGGAAGAAGCAUCUAUGGUGUGUAAACUGCUUUUGUACGGGAAGAAACACUCCUUCGUGAAGGAGCUUGACGGUACCGUAAGAAUAAGGAUCGGCUAACUCCGUGCCAGCCGCCGCGGUAA